UACGAAGGGGGGCUAGCGUUGCUCGGAUUGACUGGGCGUAAAGGGCGCGUAGGCGGUUCGUACAGUCAGACGUGAAAUUCCUGGGCUCAACCUGGGGGCUGCGUUUGAUACGUGCGGACUUGAGUGCGGAAGAGGGUCGUGGAAUUCCCAGUGUAGAGGUGAAAUUCGUAGAUAUUGGGAAGAACACCGGUGGCGAAGGCGGCGACCUGGUCCGAUACUGACGCUGAGGCGCGAAAGCGUGGGGAGCAAACGG
Molecule: ribosomal RNA, 253 nt
Filed under: uncultured bacterium
Lineage: Bacteria
Description: partial 16S ribosomal RNA
Rfam family: Bacterial small subunit ribosomal RNA
Source: RNAcentral